RNAcentral lists this ribosomal RNA (446 nucleotides) under uncultured microorganism. Its description in RNAcentral is "bacterial SSU rRNA". It matches the Rfam family "Bacterial small subunit ribosomal RNA", at positions 334 to 794 of the family's 1533-position model. The record is from RNAcentral.
UACUCCUACGGGAGGCAGCAGUGGGGAAUAUUGGGCAAUGGGCGAAAGCCUGACCCAGCAACGCCGCGUGAAGGAAGAAGGUCUUCGGAUUGUAAACUUCUGUCGCAGAUGACGAAGGAAGUGACGGUAAUCUGUGAGGAAGCCCCGGCUAACUACGUGCCAGCAGCCGCGGUAAUACGUAGGGGGCGAGCGUUGUCCGGAAUUACUGGGCGUAAAGGGAGCGUAGGCGGCUUGGUAAGUUGGAUGUGAAAUACCCGGGCUUAACUUGGGGGGUGCAUCCAAUACUGCCGAGCUAGAGUACAGGAGAGGAAAGCGGAAUUCCUAGUGUAGCGGUGAAAUGCAUAGAUAUUAGGAGGAACAUCGGUGGCGAAGGCGGCUUUCUGGACUGACACUGACGCUGAGGCUCGAAAGCGUGGGGAGCAAACAGGAUUAGAUACCCUGGUAGA